GAUUCAGUAGCUCAGCUGGAUAGAGCAACGGCCUUCUAAGCCGUCGGUCGCAGGUUCGAAUCCUGUCCGAGUCGCCA
RNAcentral lists this transfer RNA (77 nucleotides) under Anaeroplasmataceae bacterium. Its description in RNAcentral is "tRNA-Arg". It matches the Rfam family "tRNA". From Rfam's summary of the family: Transfer RNA (tRNA) molecules are approximately 80 nucleotides in length. Their secondary structure includes four short double-helical elements and three loops (D, anti-codon, and T loops). Further hydrogen bonds mediate the characteristic L-shaped molecular structure. tRNAs have two regions of fundamental functional importance: the anti-codon, which is responsible for specific mRNA codon recognition, and the 3' end, to which the tRNAs corresponding amino acid is attached (by aminoacyl-tRNA synthetases). tRNAs cope with the degeneracy of the genetic code in two manners: having more than one tRNA (with a specific anti-codon) for a particular amino acid; and 'wobble' base-pairing, i.e. permitting non-standard base-pairing at the 3rd anti-codon position. The record is from RNAcentral. Lineage: Bacteria; Bacillati; Mycoplasmatota; Mollicutes; Anaeroplasmatales; Anaeroplasmataceae.